AGAGUUUGAUCAUGGCACAGAACGAACGCUGGCGGCGCGUUUUAAGCAUGCAAGUCGGACGGCAAGCACUGUAGCAAUAUGGUGCCUAGAGUGGCGAACGGGUGAGUAACACGUAGGUGAUCUGCCUCUGGAUGGGGGAUAGCCUGUGGAAACACAGGGUAAUACCGCAUAAGGCCCUUGGUGUAAAGGCCGAGGGUGAAAGGUGCAAUUGCACCGUCUGGGGAUGAGCCUGCGCUCCAUUAGUUAGUUGGCGGGGUAAGAGCCCACCAAGACGACGAUGGAUAGCCGGCCUGAGAGGGUGUACGGCCACACUGGAACUGAGACACGGUCCAGACUCCUACGGGAGGCAGCAGCUAAGAAUCUUCCGCAAUGGGGGAAACCCUGACGGAGCGACGCCGCGUGGAUGAUGAAGGCCGUAAGGUUGUAAAAUCCUUUUGUCGGUGAAGAAUAAGGGGAGGAGUGGAAAGCCUUCCUGAUGACGUUAGCCGGCGAAUAAGCCCCGGCCAAUUACGUGCCAGCAGCCGCGGUAAUACGUAUGGGGCAAGCGCUGUUCGGAGUUAUUGGGCGUAAAGGGCGUGUAGGCGGCUCAUCAAGUCUGGUGUGAAAUCGUCAGGCUCAACCUGACAUAUGCGCUGGAAACUGGUGGGCUUGAGUUCUUGAGGGGAAGCUGGAAUUCCAGGUGUAGGGGUGAAAUCUGUAGAUAUCUGGAAGAACACCGGUGGCGAAGGCGAGCUUCU
RNAcentral lists this ribosomal RNA (737 nucleotides) under uncultured bacterium. RNAcentral describes it as "bacterial SSU rRNA". It matches the Rfam family "Bacterial small subunit ribosomal RNA", at positions 8 to 730 of the family's 1533-position model. The record is from RNAcentral.